RNAcentral lists this ribosomal RNA (377 nucleotides) under uncultured bacterium. RNAcentral describes it as "bacterial SSU rRNA". It matches the Rfam family "Bacterial small subunit ribosomal RNA", at positions 28 to 408 of the family's 1533-position model. The record is from RNAcentral.
AAUCAACGCUGGCGGCGUGCCUCAGACAUGCAAGUCGAACGAGAACCUCCCUUCGGGGAGGGGACAGUGGCGCACGGGUGAGUAACACGUGGGUGACCUGCCCUCAGCUCUGGGAUAAGCCUGGGAAACCGGGUCUAAUACUGGAUAUGACUCCAUGACGCAUGUUGUGGGGUGGAAAGCCUUGUGCGGCUGAGGAUGGGCCCGCGGCCUAUCAGCNGUUGGUGGGUGAUGGCCUACCAAGGCGACGACGGGUAGCCGGCCUGAGAGGGCGACCGGCCACACUGGGACUGAGACACGGCCCAGACUCCUACGGGAGGCAGCAGUGGGGAAUCUUGCGCAAUGGGCGAAAGCCUGACGCAGCGACGCCGCGUGAGGGA